GGACGAACGCUGGCGGCGCGCCUAACACAUGCAAGUCGAACGGGGCCUUUUAAGAAGCUUGCUUCUUGGCUGGAUCCAGUGGCGGACGGGUGAGUAACACGUGGGCAACCUACCCUAGAGUGGGGGAAUAACGUCUGGAAACGGACGCUAAUACCGCAUAAUAUCGAGAGUCGGCAUCGUCUUUCGAUCAAAGGAUUUAUUCGCUUUAGGAUGGGCUCGCGCCUGAUUAGAUAGUUGGUGAGGUAAUGGCUCACCAAGUCUACGAUCAGUAGCCGGACUGAGAGGUUGAUCGGCCACAUUGGGACUGAGACACGGCCCAGACUCCUACGGGAGGCAGCAGUGGGGAAUAUUGCACAAUGGGGGAAACCCUGAUGCAGCGACGCCGCGUGAGUGAAGACGGCCUUCGGGUUGUAAAGCUCUGUUGAGGGGGACGAUAAUGACGGUACCCCUCUAGAAAGCCACGGCUAACUACGUGCCAGCAGCCGC
RNAcentral lists this ribosomal RNA (486 nucleotides) under uncultured bacterium. RNAcentral's name for it is "bacterial SSU rRNA". It matches the Rfam family "Bacterial small subunit ribosomal RNA", at positions 27 to 518 of the family's 1533-position model. The record is from RNAcentral.